RNAcentral lists this unclassified non-coding RNA (906 nucleotides) under Hevea brasiliensis (rubber tree). Lineage: Eukaryota; Viridiplantae; Streptophyta; Magnoliopsida; Malpighiales; Euphorbiaceae. The record is from RNAcentral.
GAGUUCCAAUCGCUGAUACCAAUAGGACUGAAUGCUUCUGCUAGGCUUGUAUAAUUAAAUAAAUAUACAAAUAUAAUUAUAUCUUUUUUUAAAAAAUUAAAAGAUGAUUAUUAAAUAUGGAGUUCACAUAUACAUAUAUAUUUAUUUAUUAGACCCACACAUGCUUUAAUGUUCACCCAUUAUUAAAAUUAUGUAAGAUAUCCUACGUAAAACUGUUUUACUAUAUAAUUUUUGUUUUACUAUAUAAUUUUUGGUCAUAUAUGUGGGGGUGUUUGACAAUAUUACCCAUGCCUUCUUGACCCUCUUGCCCAUAUUCCCUAUCCAAAGGGAAGUCAUUCGAUAGCUUUUUUUUCUCUGAAGCUUUGCUUCUGCUCCAAACCUGUUUUGGUGCAUUUCUUCAUAAUGACAGUGUUACUCUUUUUAUAUCCUAAUUUUUGUGUUAUCUGUGGAAUAUAUAAAUAGAUAGGGUGAGAUUUGGAUCUGCUGCUGGAUCCACAAGAUCUCCAUUUCGUUAUCAUGAGAGACAGAGAACGAGACAUAUAUGAGAGGGUGAAAAAGAGAGAAACAGAUUCUAUCUAACCAUCCUUAGAGCAUCAAAUCACAAUUCCACCACCAUCGCUCCCUUCAUCAACAUCCAGAGAACCCAGUAAUAACAAUCCGGCCACCAACCACAGCCGAAGAUACGUUUGGGUCGGGCAGGUCGCCAACUAUAACAUUUGAUCACAAAAAGCAACAAAAGCAAUCUGGAAUGUGAAGAAAGUAAAAGGGAAAUUGAAGUCCUUGAGGUUGGGACAAAAGUGCAUUUGGGUAGAAGAAGUUGGGCCUAAAAUGCCAUAUUAGCUGCGGAGAUAAAAACUCCACACCAGGUGCAUCAAGGGCAUCACUCCUUUUAAAUGUGACUUAAAU